CAGAACAAAAAUACAGAAAAGACAGGCC
RNAcentral lists this non-coding RNA (28 nucleotides) under Cricetulus griseus (Chinese hamster). The record is from RNAcentral. Lineage: Eukaryota; Metazoa; Chordata; Mammalia; Rodentia; Cricetidae.